RNAcentral lists this long non-coding RNA (598 nucleotides) under Ananas comosus (pineapple). Its description in RNAcentral is "long non-coding RNA (ACOM_LNC009787)". The record is from RNAcentral. Lineage: Eukaryota; Viridiplantae; Streptophyta; Magnoliopsida; Poales; Bromeliaceae.
AAUUCACAGCAAAAGAUUGAAAAUGAGAGAUUACAAUGAUUGGAUAAAAAUUAUGAGACUGAAUGAAGAGAGAUAGCAGGUUGUGAGACUGUACGAAGGGAGAUGGAUGGAGAUUAUGAAAUUGAAUGAAGGAUGAUUAGUGAUUGUGAGACUGGAUGAAGGGAGAUGGAUGGGGAUUAUGAAAUUGGAUGACAAAAGAUCAUUGAUUAUGAGAUUGGACGAAGGGAGAUGGAUGAAGAUUAUGAAAUUGGAUGAAGAAAAAUCGGUGAUUAUGAGACUGGAUGAAGAGAGAUGGAUGGAGAUUAUGAAAUUGGAUGAAGAUUAGUAAUUAUGAGACUGGAUGAAGGAAAAUGGAUGGGUAUCAUGAAAUUGAAUGAAGGAAGAUCGGCGAUUAUGAGAAUGGAUGAAGGGAGAUAGAUGGAGAUUACGAAAUUGGAUAAAGGAAGAUCGGUUACGAGAAUGGAUGAAGGGAGAUGGAUGGAGAUUAUGAAAUUGGAUGAAGGCAGAUCAGUGAUUAUGAGACUGAAUAAAAAAAAAUAGAUGGAAAUUAUAAGACUAGAUAAAGAGCGAUAGGCGGGUUAUAAGAUUAUAUCAAGAA